AGUGAACGCUGGCGGUAGGCCUAACACAUGCAAGUCGAACGGCAGCACAGUAAGAGCUUGCUCUUACGGGUGGCGAGUGGCGGACGGGUGAGGAAUACAUCGGAAUCUACUUUUUCGAGGGGGAUAACGUAGGGAAACUUACGCUAAUACCGCAUAAGACCUACGGGUGAAAGCAGAGGAUCUUCGGACCUUGCGCGAUUGAAGGAGCCGAUGUCGGAUUAGCUAGUUGGCGGGGUAAAGGCCCACCAAGGCGACGAUCCGUAGCUGGUCUGAGAGGAUGAUCAGCCACACUGGACCUGAGACACGGUCCAGACUCCUACGCGAGGCAGCAGUGGGGAAUAUUGGACAAUGGGCGCAAGCCUGAUCCAGCCAUACCGCGUGGGUGAAGAAGGCCUUCGCGUUGUAAAUCUCUUUUGUUGGGAAAGAAAAGCAGCAGGUUAAUCCCCCGCUGUUCUGACGGUACCCAAUGAAUAAGCACCGGCUAACUUCGUG
RNAcentral lists this ribosomal RNA (492 nucleotides) under uncultured bacterium. RNAcentral's name for it is "partial 16S ribosomal RNA". It matches the Rfam family "Bacterial small subunit ribosomal RNA", at positions 29 to 507 of the family's 1533-position model. The record is from RNAcentral.